RNAcentral lists this ribosomal RNA (261 nucleotides) under uncultured archaeon. RNAcentral describes it as "partial 16S ribosomal RNA". It matches the Rfam family "Archaeal small subunit ribosomal RNA", at positions 748 to 1009 of the family's 1478-position model. The record is from RNAcentral.
CAGCCGUAAACUAUGCUCGCUAGGUGUCAGGCAUGGCGCGACCGUGUCUGGUGCCGCAGGGAAGCCGUGAAGCGAGCCACCUGGGAAGUACGGCCGCAAGGCUGAAACUUAAAGGAAUUGGCGGGGGAGCACCACAACAGGUGGAGCCUGCGGUUUAAUUGGAUUCAACGCCGGACAUCUCACCGGAUAAGACAGCAAUAUGUAGGCCAGGCUGAAGACCUUGCCUGAAUCGCUGAGAGGAGGUGCAUGGCGUAGACGUCU